UACGUAGGGUGCAGGCGUUAAUCGGAAUUACUGGGCGUAAAGCGUGCGCAGGCGGUUUCUUAAGUCAGAUGUGAAAGCCCCGGGCUUAACCUGGGAACUGCGUUUGAAACUGGGAGACUUGAGUGUGGCAGAGGGGGGUGGAAUUCCACGUGUAGCAGUGAAAUGCGUAGAUAUCUGGAGGAACACCGGUGGCGAAGGCGGCAUCCUGGACCGACACUGACGCUGAGGAGCGAAAGCCAGGGGAGCAAACGGG
This 253-nucleotide ribosomal RNA is filed under the name uncultured bacterium. RNAcentral's name for it is "partial 16S ribosomal RNA". It matches the Rfam family "Bacterial small subunit ribosomal RNA", at positions 524 to 776 of the family's 1533-position model. The record is from RNAcentral.